RNAcentral lists this ribosomal RNA (253 nucleotides) under uncultured bacterium. RNAcentral describes it as "partial 16S ribosomal RNA". It matches the Rfam family "Bacterial small subunit ribosomal RNA", at positions 524 to 776 of the family's 1533-position model. The record is from RNAcentral.
UACGGAGGGUGCAAGCGUUAUCCGGAAUCACUGGGCUUAAAGGGCGCGUAGGCGGGCUGUCAAGUCUGGGGUGAAAUGCCGCGGCUCAACCGUGGAACUGCCUUAGAUACUGACGGCCUCGAGGAAGGUAGGGGCAUGCGGAACUGUAGGUGGAGCGGUGAAAUGCGUUGAUAUCUACAGGAACUCCGGUGGCGAAAGCGGCGUGCUGGACCUUUUCUGACGCUGAGGCGCGAAAGCUAGGGGAGCAAACGGG